GCCGACGUGGCUCGAGUUAGAAAGGCACCACUCUUGUAAAGUGGCUCAUGCUGGUGCGAACCCAGUCGUCGGCU
This 74-nucleotide transfer RNA is filed under the name Rhodopirellula sp. SM50. RNAcentral's name for it is "tRNA-Thr". It matches the Rfam family "tRNA". Rfam says of the family: Transfer RNA (tRNA) molecules are approximately 80 nucleotides in length. Their secondary structure includes four short double-helical elements and three loops (D, anti-codon, and T loops). Lineage: Bacteria; Pseudomonadati; Planctomycetota; Planctomycetia; Pirellulales; Pirellulaceae. RNAcentral also lists the same sequence under 1 other name. The record is from RNAcentral.